This 226-nucleotide ribosomal RNA is filed under the name uncultured bacterium. RNAcentral's name for it is "partial 16S ribosomal RNA". It matches the Rfam family "Bacterial small subunit ribosomal RNA", at positions 538 to 763 of the family's 1533-position model. The record is from RNAcentral.
GCGUUACUCGGAAUUACUGGGCGUAAAGCGUGCGUAGGUGGUUUGUUAAGUCAGAUGUGAAAGCCCCGGGCUCAACCUGGGAAUUGCAUUUGAUACUGGCAGACUAGAGUGCGGUAGAGGAGAGUGGAAUUCCCGGUGUAGCAGUGAAAUGCGUAGAGAUCGGGAGGAACAUCAGUUGCGAAGGCGGCUCUCUGGACCAGCACUGACACUGAGGCACGAAAGCGUG